GAUGAACGCUGGCGGCGUGCCUAUACAUGCAAGUCGAGCGAACGGACGAGAAGCUUGCUUCUCUGAUGUUAGCGGCGGACGGGUGAGUAACACGUGGAUAACCUACCUAUAAGACUGGGAUAACUUCGGGAAACCGGAGCUAGUACCGGAUAAUAUUUUGAACCGCAUGGUUCAAAGGUGAAAGACGGUCUUGCUGUCACUUAUAGAUGGAUCCGCGCUGCAUUAGCUAGUUGGUAAGGUAACGGCUUACCAAGGCAACGAUGCAUAGCCGACCUGAGAGGGUGAUCGGCCACACUGGAACUGAGACACGGUCCAGACUCCUACGGGAGGCAGCAGUAGGGAAUCUUCCGCAAUGGGCGAAAGCCUGACGGAGCAACGCCGCGUGAGUGAUGAAGGUCUUCGGAUCGUAAAACUCUGUUAUUAGGGAAGAACAUAUGUGUAAGUAACUGUGCACAUCUUGACGGUACCUAAUCAGAAAGCCACGGCUAACUACGUG
This 496-nucleotide ribosomal RNA is filed under the name uncultured bacterium. RNAcentral describes it as "partial 16S ribosomal RNA". It matches the Rfam family "Bacterial small subunit ribosomal RNA", at positions 28 to 507 of the family's 1533-position model. The record is from RNAcentral.